UUUGCCUUUUAAUUGGAGGCUAGUAUGAACGGAUAAACGAGAAUAUGGCUGUCUCACUACCAGCAAUGAAAAUUAACCUUCAAGUGAAGAGGCUUGAAUUAUAUAAAAAGACGAAAAGACCCUAUGGAGCUUUACUUACAUAGAGAACGAGGCACAAUAAAAAAACUGCUAAACUCCUAAAUAGUUCAGUUGGGGCGACUGAGGAGCACUAUUAAAGCCCCCUCAACACACAAGAAAAUAAAUCUAUUAAAAAUCCACAAACGUGAAUAAAGAAUCAGCUACCCUAGGGAUAACAGGCUAAUCCUUCUCGAGAGCCCA
This 318-nucleotide ribosomal RNA is filed under the name Prionospio sp. E TMG-2019. Its description in RNAcentral is "partial large subunit ribosomal RNA". It matches the Rfam family "Bacterial large subunit ribosomal RNA", at positions 1968 to 2502 of the family's 2925-position model. The record is from RNAcentral. Lineage: Eukaryota; Metazoa; Annelida; Polychaeta; Spionida; Spionidae.